GCCUGGACAGCUCAGCUGGUUAGAGCACUGUGUUGGUAAUGCCAAGGUUGCAGGUUUGAUCCCCCGUUUGGGACU
Molecule: non-coding RNA, 75 nt
Organism: Podarcis lilfordi (Lilford's wall lizard)
Lineage: Eukaryota; Metazoa; Chordata; Lepidosauria; Squamata; Lacertidae
Source: the annotation of a GenBank genome assembly